CUAGAUGACGCUGGCGGCGUGCCUAAUACAUGCAAGUCGAACGCACAGCGAAAGGUGCUUGCACCUUUCAAGUGAGUGGCGAACGGGUGAGUAACACGUGGACAACCUGCCUCAAGGCUGGGGAUAACAUUUGGAAACAGAUGCUAAUACCGAAUAAAACUUAGUGUCGCAUGACAAAAAGUUAAAAGGCGCUUCGGCGUCACCUAGAGAUGGAUCCGCGGUGCAUUAGUUAGUUGGUGGGGUAAAGGCCUACCAAGACAAUGAUGCAUAGCCGAGUUGAGAGACUGAUCGGCCACAUUGGGACUGAGACACGGCCCAAACUCCUACGGGAGGCUGCAGUAGGGAAUCUUCCACAAUGGGCGAAAGCCUGAUGGAGCAACGCCGCGUGUGUGAUGAAGGCUUUCGGGUCGUAAAGCACUGUUGUAUGGGAAGAACAGCUAGAAUAGGAAAUGAUUUUAGUUUGACGGUACCAUACCAGAAAGGGACGGCUAAAUACGUGCCAGCAGCCGCGGUAAUACGUAUGUCCCGAGCGUUAUCCGGAUUUAUUGGGCGUAAAGCGAGCGCAGACGGUUUAUUAAGUCUGAUGUGAAAGCCCGGAGCUCAACUCCGGAAUGGCAUUGGAAACUGGUUAACUUGAGUGCAGUAGAGGUAAGUGGAACUCCAUGUGUAGCGGUGGAAUGCGUAGAUAUAUGGAAGAACACCAGUGGCGAAGGCGGCUUACUGGACUGCAACUGACGUUGAGGCUCGAAAGUGUGGGUAGCAAACAGGAUUAGAUACCCUGGUAGUCCACACCGUAAACGAUGAACACUAGGUGUUAGGAGGUUUCCGCCUCUUAGUGCCGAAGCUAACGCAUUAAGUGUUCCGCCUGGGGAGUACGACCGCAAGGUUGAAACUCAAAGGAAUUGACGGGAACCCGCACAAGCGGUGGAGCAUGUGGUUUAAUUCGAAGCAACGCGAGACCUUACCCGGUCUUGACCUCUUUGAGCUUUAGA
This 992-nucleotide ribosomal RNA is filed under the name Leuconostoc mesenteroides. Its description in RNAcentral is "bacterial SSU rRNA". It matches the Rfam family "Bacterial small subunit ribosomal RNA", at positions 25 to 1001 of the family's 1533-position model. The record is from RNAcentral. Lineage: Bacteria; Bacillati; Bacillota; Bacilli; Lactobacillales; Lactobacillaceae.